UUUACAUUAACCUGACUUAAUUGUUUGGCUUUAGUUAUGUCAACUUACUUUCAUGAGUUCAAUUAACUUAAAAGACACACAUUUCAUCUAAAACAAACGGUUAACUUUGAGUUGACGUGAACCAAUUAAGUUGAAUGCAGUUUUACGUCUGACGUCAUUACGCAAGCUUUGCCCGAGACAGAUCCACUUCUUGUACCGACCGCUUGUGCAGCCGCCAUUUCUUCUGACCAUCGACUGUCCACCGGAUUGUAAAACAGCCUGGAGCCAAGCAUCAUCAGACCAUAGAAGAUUGCCAUGGCAAGUUCAAAACCUGCAAGACUGAAGGUGAUUCUAGGAGAGAGCAACACUGAAAAACUGACUCUUCCAAAUGGCAUACCAGAUUCUCUGGAUGAUCUUCUCAGCAAGGUGAAGGAUACCUUUGGUUUAAAGACCAACAUCAGACUGCAAUAUAUGGACAAAGACUUUGGUAAUGACUUCUUCAACCUCAGCUCAACUUCUGACCUUGAGGACUUGGGAACAGUCAAGGUGAUUCAAGAAGAAGCAGUUCAACCUUUUGUUGAUGUCAUUGAA
Molecule: long non-coding RNA, 570 nt
Organism: Poeciliopsis prolifica (blackstripe livebearer)
Lineage: Eukaryota; Metazoa; Chordata; Actinopteri; Cyprinodontiformes; Poeciliidae
Exons: 3
Source: RefSeq, a predicted model, not a curated record